AAGGCUUUGGCUUAAUUAAAGCGUCUGUUUUGCAUGCAGAAGAUGUGAGUUAGAGCCUCGCAAGUCUUA
This 69-nucleotide transfer RNA is filed under the name Rhabdosargus sarba (goldlined seabream). RNAcentral describes it as "tRNA-Ala". It matches the Rfam family "tRNA". From Rfam's summary of the family: Transfer RNA (tRNA) molecules are approximately 80 nucleotides in length. Their secondary structure includes four short double-helical elements and three loops (D, anti-codon, and T loops). Lineage: Eukaryota; Metazoa; Chordata; Actinopteri; Spariformes; Sparidae. The record is from RNAcentral.